This is a long non-coding RNA of Heterocephalus glaber (naked mole-rat), 530 nucleotides long. NCBI's taxonomy places the organism in Eukaryota, Metazoa, Chordata, Mammalia, Rodentia, Bathyergidae. The record is from Ensembl.
GGGCGCAGAACCAGCCUCCCCAGGAGGCCCCCAGCCCGCGUUUGCGCGUGCGCUCGCGAGCUGUCGUUACGUAGAGGCGGAAGCAGAACGCACGCCGGGCGCCUCAGCUCGCGUCUGGAUCCGUUGGAGCUUUAGAGUCCGAGGACUUCAAGAGGCACAAGAAGCUGGGCUGGGUACCUACUUGAGUCUGAGAGCCCUUCGAGGAGACCCUAGAGAAGACCUCCGCCUUCUAAGCCAGCCCUCUUCCUCAAAACAGAUCGUGGUCUCCCAGCCUCGGUUUCCCCGUUGGAAAGGAAUCUGAGAUCCAGAAAGGCCCCGAACACCGUCCAGGCUAUAAACAUGGUAGAGCACAGUGUUGGAUUUAGGGGUCGAGAGGUCCACGACUUUCAACACCGUACUUUGCGGGCAAGUUCUUCAGCCCACAUGGCAUCCCCUCUGUGGUCAAGUCGGCUCCCCAACUUCCUGUGUAUAUGAUAUCAGUCCCUCACGUAUCCAGUUUAUCUGAAAAUAUUAAAUGGAAAGUGCCAGGA